AACACAUGAUGAGAGCACCUUCUCUAAAGAUCCUUAAAUCUCUCACAUGCAUCAUAUAAUGUAUCCAAAUCAAUUUGAGCAAAAUAAGGUGUUUCGUUUCUCAACUU
RNAcentral lists this small nucleolar RNA (107 nucleotides) under Gossypium hirsutum (cotton). Its description in RNAcentral is "Plant small nucleolar RNA R71". It matches the Rfam family "Plant small nucleolar RNA R71". From Rfam's summary of the family: R71 is a member of the C/D box family of snoRNAs containing the C (UGAUGA) and D (CUGA) box motifs. Multiple nearly identical copies of this snoRNA have been identified in Arabidopsis, and it is thought to function as a 2'-O-ribose methylation guide for 18S ribosomal RNA. Lineage: Eukaryota; Viridiplantae; Streptophyta; Magnoliopsida; Malvales; Malvaceae. RNAcentral also lists the same sequence under 1 other name. The record is from Rfam by way of RNAcentral.